RNAcentral lists this ribosomal RNA (465 nucleotides) under Vreelandella stevensii. Its description in RNAcentral is "partial 16S ribosomal RNA". It matches the Rfam family "Bacterial small subunit ribosomal RNA", at positions 338 to 795 of the family's 1533-position model. The record is from RNAcentral. Lineage: Bacteria; Pseudomonadati; Pseudomonadota; Gammaproteobacteria; Oceanospirillales; Halomonadaceae.
CCUACGGGGGGCAGCAGUGGGGAAUAUUGGACAAUGGGGGGAACCCUGAUCCAGCCAUGCCGCGUGUGUGAAGAAGGCCCUCGGGUUGUAAAGCACUUUCAGUGAGGAAGAACGCCUGGUGGUUAAUACCCAUCAGGAAAGACAUCACUCACAGAAGAAGCACCGGCUAACUCCGUGCCAGCAGCCGCGGUAAUACGGAGGGUGCGAGCGUUAAUCGGAAUUACUGGGCGUAAAGCGCGCGUAGGUGGCUUGAUAAGCCGGUUGUGAAAGCCCCGGGCUCAACCUGGGAACGGCAUCCGGAACUGUCAAGCUAGAGUGCAGGAGAGGAAGGUAGAAUUCCCGGUGUAGCGGUGAAAUGCGUAGAGAUCGGGAGGAAUACCAGUGGCGAAGGCGGCCUUCUGGACUGACACUGACACUGAGGUGCGAAAGCGUGGGUAGCAAACAGGAUUAGAUACCCCGGUAGUC